GAUGAACGCUGGCGGCGUGCCUAAUACAUGCAAGUCGAGCGAACGGACGAGAAGCUUGCUUCUCUGAUGUUAGCGGCGGACGGGUGAGUAACACGUGGAUAACCUACCUAUAUGACUGGGAUAACUUCGGGAAACCGGAGCUAAUACCGGAUGAUAUUUUGAACCGCAUGGUUCAAAAGUGAAAGACGGUCUUGCUGUCACUUAUAGAUGGAUCCGCGCUGCAUUAGCUAGUUGGUAAGGUAACGGCUUACCAAGGCAACGAUGCAUAGCCGACCUGAGAGGGUGAUCGGCCACACUGGAACUGAGACACGGUCCAGACUCCUACGGGAGGCAGCAGUAGGGAAUCUUCCGCAAUGGGCGAAAGCCUGACGGAGCAACGCCGCGUGAGUGAUGAAGGUCUUCGGAUCGUAAAACUCUGUUAUUAGGGAAGAACAUAUGUGUAAGUAACUGUGCACAUCUUGACGGUACCUAAUCAGAAAGCCACGGCUAACUACGUG
This 497-nucleotide ribosomal RNA is filed under the name uncultured bacterium. RNAcentral describes it as "partial 16S ribosomal RNA". It matches the Rfam family "Bacterial small subunit ribosomal RNA", at positions 28 to 507 of the family's 1533-position model. The record is from RNAcentral.